GAACAGAAUUGAAGCUUUAAAUCACUGAAAUUAUAUUAAUACUAAUAGAAAAUAGGAGUUGGACUGGGCUACUAUUAGUAGCAAAAUUUCAUUGUUGCUACCAGUUUUUUAGCCUUUGGAUCAACUCUUUUUAUUAUUUCUAACCAUUGGAUUAAAUACUAUAACCCAGUGAGAACCAUUCAACCCUAGGGGGGCCACUCAACUCUAACCGACUAAUAUCAUCCUAACCCUACAAUAUUUCAUCCAAGAGUUAAAAAGUUGAUAGCAAAAGAGCGUUUUAUUAUUAAUAGUAUUCCAGCCUAAUUCUAGAAAAGAGUAGAUAUAGUGGGGACACAAGUUUGUGUGGCGACCGAGAGAUU
This 359-nucleotide long non-coding RNA is filed under the name Ananas comosus (pineapple). RNAcentral's name for it is "long non-coding RNA (ACOM_LNC041521)". Lineage: Eukaryota; Viridiplantae; Streptophyta; Magnoliopsida; Poales; Bromeliaceae. The record is from RNAcentral.